Molecule: ribosomal RNA, 1023 nt
Filed under: uncultured cyanobacterium
Lineage: Bacteria; Bacillati; Cyanobacteriota
Description: bacterial SSU rRNA
Rfam family: Bacterial small subunit ribosomal RNA
Source: RNAcentral
GCAAGCCUGACGGAGCAACGCCGCGUGAGGGAUGGAGGCCUUUGGGCUGUAAACCUCUUUUCUCAAGGAAGAAGAUCUGACGGUACUUGAGGAAUAAGCCACGGCUAAUUCCGUGCCAGCAGCCGCGGUAAUACGGGAGUGGCAAGCGUUAUCCGGAAUUAUUGGGCGUAAAGCGUCCGCAGGCGGCCGUUUAAGUCUGUUGUUAAAUCGUGGAGCUCAACUCCAUCACGGCAAUGGAAACUGUUCGGCUUGAGUAUGGUAGGGGCAGAGGGAAUUUCCGGUGUAGCGGUGAAAUGCGUAGAUAUCGGGAAGAACACCAGUGGCAAAAGCGCUCUGCUGGGCCAUUACUGACGCUCAUGGACGAAAGCCAGGGGAGCGAAAGGGAUUAGAUACCCCUGUAGUCCUGGCCGUAAACGAUGAACACUAGAUGUUGGGGGAAUCGACCCCUUCGGUGUCGUAGCUAACGCGUUAAGUGUUCCGCCUGGGGAGUACGCACGCAAGUGUGAAACUCAAAGGAAUUGACGGGGGCCCGCACAAGCGGUGGAGUAUGUGGUUUAAUUCGAUGCAACGCGAAGAACCUUACCAAGGCUUGACAUCCUGUGAAUCUCCAAGAAAUUGGAGAGUGCCUUCGGGAACGCAGUGACAGGUGGUGCAUGGCUGUCGUCAGCUCGUGUCGUGAGAUGUUGGGUUAAGUCCCGCAACGAGCGCAACCCACGUUUUUAGUUGCCAGCAUUCAGUUGGGCACUCUAGAAAGACUGCCGGUGACAAACCGGAGGAAGGUGUGGACGACGUCAAGUCAUCAUGCCCCUUACGCCUUGGGCUACACACGUACUACAAUGCUGCGGACAAAGAGUAGCGAUCUUGCGAAAGUUAGCUAAUCUCGUAAACCGUGGCUCAGUUCAGAUCGUAGGCUGCAACUCGCCUACGUGAAGGAGGAAUCGCUAGUAAUCGCAGGUCAGCAUACUGCGGUGAAUACGUUCCCGGGCCUUGUACACACCGCCCGUCACACCAUGGAAGUUGGCC